UUCCACAUUAAAUCUGUCGACUCUGCUAACAGAAGCCGCACGUUCUUCUCAACCUAGCGGCUUCUGAUUGGAAAUCAAGAAGGAAUUCAGGUUUCCCCGUCUCCGAUGAAGAAGUCAUCGUCACUGUUCGUCGCGAGAAUCAACGGAGAUUCGGUCGAUGGGUUUGCAGAUUCUAGGGUUUAUCAUGGUUGUGUUGAUUGAUUAGAUUUUGAUGACCCCACGACCCAAUUUAUGAUCAAAGAUGAGGUUGAUAAAUGGAAAAAUGAAGGUACGAACCGCAGGGGUUCUCGAUUCCUCUAUGAUGACCACCGGAGAGCGCCUCAUCAGAUACAUUUGCUUUUUCAUUAUUUUUAGUCGGCAACGCUUAAUCCCACCACCAAUCCCUCCACCGAUCGCUCAAAACCUUCAAUCGCUUUGAAUGUCGACAACCUCCACACCAGAACCUCACGGUAGCGCUUCCCUUUAUGGCCCCUUUGUUCUCAACCUUCAUUUUUCUUGAUGCAGACGAAAUCGCCUGCACCGACAUGUUCGACCCUAAAUCACCGCCUCCGGUUUCCUUUUCUUGCAUCGUCUAUCUUGCUGAAUAAUUUGACCCACUGCACGCCGCCAUCGUAUUUCCCCAUCUGUUAACAACAUCAGUAAUGGAGCUGACGAACAACCAUACUCAAACCAUCAGCCGAUGUCUGUACCUGUUCUCAAUCCAUGAAUACCGUAUGUCGAGCCAACUUCCAUGAACAAGGUGCUUCAAAGCUCAAAUUUCAACUUACUUUAUGGUUUUUGAUAAUUCAUCAAUUCUAUCUGACGGUGCUUCUCUUCCUCAGUCCAUGUAUCCACGUGUUCAAAUAUGUGAUAAAUUGUCAUGUCCGCCAACCGUUUGAUGUAAGUUUUCUCCACCUGCUCACCGAUGUCCUUUUCCUGUUCAAUUCAAAUCGACCCAUUUCAAGGCUUGCUGUGUCGCGUCAUCGACUGGAAUAGAGCAUCGUUCCGUCUUCCAAUCAAUCGUCUCCACAAUCUGAAUCUAUGUAUUGUAUGUAAUGAGUGAAGUUCGUUUACUUAGUUUCAUGCUUUCAUUUUAUGAAUUUAUAAGAAUCCCAAAUUUCUUUGUCUCCUGUACGCCAAUGGGUUUUACUUUUCCUUCUAUAUUUAUUGAGGUUAUAAUCUAAUAAUGUUACCUGAAGACCCAACCAAAAACCAUGCUCAAAGCCCCAAAAUAAGAAAAGCCUCCGGAGGUCGAAGGAAAGAAGAGCAACAACAGAAGCUUACUCUGACAAAAUUUAUCAAUAAUGUGAGUUGGUUUUAUUUUCAUUAUUUUUCAAACAAUAUAUGAAAUGAAGUUUGUUUCUCACAUCUAUUAAUUGCCUCCUCCUAUCUGCAUCAAAGGUUGUGGGGAACAAUGUAAACAUAAAUAAAUAUCCUUUGAGUAUUAAUAUGGGGAUGCAUAACUUGAAGAUUUCGACAUCUGAUGAGUUAUGGAGAGCCAUCCGGAAUUUCCGGCCAUCAGCCAUGGUUGGAGUUUCGGAUGGUAAAUAAACGGUGGGUGGACAGGACAUCCAUUAAAAUCUGGAGUAAGGAUAACUGUCGCGAUCAAGAUUUUAAACACAAAUAAUGUUCAGAGUCUCAGUGCCACUGAGAUUUUGUUUCCUUUGGUUUGAAUUUUCACCUCAAGGCUAGGUCUAACUUUGAAAUUUGUUAAAACUUUUGAGUUUAGUUAUAGUCCUUUAUAAAAAAACACCUGCUAUUUUGCUUUAUAGAAAGAGAGACAUAUCCUGUUAUAACAUUUUAUCAUUAACGUAUUAAACGAUGUGUUGUGUUUCAGUGUGUCACGGGAAGAAGUGAAUCAGUGAAGGUUUAGUCAUUCCAAUUUUGUUAAUACCUUUUUUGUGAACUUUGUUUUUUUUUUUUUUUUGGGAUUUUUAUUUGGAUUUGCUUUCUUGAAUGUGAUCAUGGUGCUCCAGCCAAGUAUACGAUUCUUGAACACUCAGUUGUCAUUCAUUACAUCAAUCUAUAUAUCUCAUUAAAUCAUGAAACGGGUAUAUCUAUUUUACGUGUGUUUGAUCACAAACUUAUUUUUUCCUUAACUAUCAUCUUAUACACUUUCUAUUGUAUCGUCGCUGUCAUCUUCAUCGGUGUGGAAUCGGGUUCAUACAGCUAAUUUCGGAAGCUUACGGUUGCAUAUGAGGUUGGCAUUGCAACGGUUUUGAAGAAUCAUUGUUCAAAUGCAGAAACUGCAGAUAAAAAGGUACAAGAUUUAAACUUUAGAUGUUGGUGAUGAAUCUUAAAAAAAGGGUAUGAUUUUUGUUCUUUGAUGCAACAAUUUUCGUAUUUUUUUUUUUGUUGUGUUUAACUAUUUUUUGAUGUUAGAUUUUUGACGUGGGGUUUUGAACGAAAGAACAAUUUGGUGGCUAACUUGGUGGCUAAGUGUUUUGAUUUUGAUUUUUUUAACUUUUUCUUUGGAUCACAAGUUUAUAGGUGAUGCUGAUUGUUUUUAACCUAUAGCUUUUAGUGACAAUAUACUAGGUUUCACACUUUGCAUUUGGGUUCUUCAGAUUUACACUUUACAUCUUGAGUUUAUGUUGGAAUAAAAUGAUAUCAUCCUUGUGCAAUUUAAUGAUUCGCAUGUUUAUUAA
This is a non-coding RNA of Lactuca sativa (garden lettuce), 2627 nucleotides long. Lineage: Eukaryota; Viridiplantae; Streptophyta; Magnoliopsida; Asterales; Asteraceae. The record is from RefSeq and is a predicted model, not a curated record.